RNAcentral lists this ribosomal RNA (392 nucleotides) under uncultured microorganism. RNAcentral describes it as "bacterial SSU rRNA". It matches the Rfam family "Bacterial small subunit ribosomal RNA", at positions 9 to 396 of the family's 1533-position model. The record is from RNAcentral.
GAGUUUGAUCAUGGCUCAGAUUGAACGCUGGCGGCAUGCCUUACACAUGCAAGUCGAACGGCAGCAUGAUCUAGCUUGCUAGAUUGAUGGCGAGUGGCGAACGGGUGAGUAAUACAUCGGAACGUGCCCUGUAGUGGGGGAUAACUAGUCGAAAGAUUAGCUAAUACCGCAUACGACCUGAGGGUGAAAGUGGGGGACCGCAAGGCCUCAUGCUAUAGGAGCGGCCGAUGUCUGAUUAGCUAGUUGGUGGGGUAAAGGCCCACCAAGGCGACGAUCAGUAGCUGGUCUGAGAGGACGAUCAGCCACACUGGGACUGAGACACGGCCCAGACUCCUACGGGAGGCAGCAGUGGGGAAUUUUGGACAAGUGGGCGAAAGCCUGAUCCAGCAAUG